This 417-nucleotide ribosomal RNA is filed under the name uncultured bacterium. RNAcentral describes it as "bacterial SSU rRNA". It matches the Rfam family "Bacterial small subunit ribosomal RNA", at positions 1 to 420 of the family's 1533-position model. The record is from RNAcentral.
AAUUCGCCCUUAGAGUUUGAUCCUGGCUCAGAACGAACGCUGGCGGCAGGCCUAACACAUGCAAGUCGAACGGCAGCAGGCCUCUCCUCGGAGAGGUGCUGGCGAGUGGCGAACGGGUGAGUAACGCGUGGGAACCUGCCCGGUAGUGGGGAAUAACCACGGGAAACCGUGGCUAAUACCGCAUACGCCCUUCGGGGGAAAGGUCCUUGUGGCCGCUAUCGGAGGGGCCCGCGUCGAAUUAGCUAGUUGGUGAGGUAACGGCUCACCAAGGCGACGAUCCGUAGCUGGUCUGAGAGGAUGAUCAGCCACACUGGGACUGAGACACGGCCCAGACUCCUACGGGAGGCAGCAGUGGGGAAUAUUGGACAAUGGGCGAAAGCCUGAUCCAGCCAUGCCGCGUGGGUCAGAAGGCCUUAG